This 119-nucleotide ribosomal RNA is filed under the name Pteropus alecto (black flying fox). The record is from RNAcentral. RNAcentral also lists the same sequence under 1 other name. Lineage: Eukaryota; Metazoa; Chordata; Mammalia; Chiroptera; Pteropodidae.
GUCUACGGCCAUGUCACACUGAACACGCUCGAUCUUGUCUGAUCUUGAAAGCUAAGCAGGGUUGGGCCUGGUUAGUACUUGGAUGGGAGACCACCUAGGAAGACUGGGUGUUGUAGGCA